ACAGAAGGUCGGGAGCUGAAACUGAGUUUUUAUCUGUAGAUAUCGACACUUUCGUCAGUUAACUUAAACAUGGUACUUGUCAGAAACAUCUCAGCAAGUUUAUAGCCGUCAUAUGCAGUGAUUUACAGAGAAACACAAGCUUGCACAACAGAUCCAACCAAAACAAAGUAGCACAAACUUGAUCAUGGCAAGAACUGAAAUAAGCGCUGUUGUUAUUUCUCCAGAUCAUGAAUCAGUGUGAUCCCACACAAGUUACAAGAGGACAGAGCACAAACAGCUAACUACAGAGCGCCAUCGAUCUCAUCCACCAAAGAAGACACAGGGACAGCCGAAUUAGGCGGAGGUGUGACGGCCAUGGUGCCCUCGGAAAGCAUCUAACUCCAGCCUGGAAAGCAGCAAAUACUCGUAAUAACCCUGCAAGAAAACAUUGAUCUUGAGACCACAUAAAAAAAAGCCAAAAAUGGCAACAUCAUCAGCACACACAUCUACAAAUUGGAAACUGCACAGCUCACAUUAAGCCCCAGCAAAAUACAUGGGAUUUCUUAUUGUAUAUAUCCUGGCCCAAACACACAUAAUUCAAUGUCUAUUCUUGUGUAAAAGAAUUCUGUAUGUGAUAAAUUCUACUAUAAUAUUUACUGUUUAGUGUGUAGGAAGUCAACUGAUGACUGAAAUGAGCAGCUAUAUACAACAAAUAGACCACAGCUGUUGUAGAGCUAGGAUUCAUCUGUGCAGAUAUAUAAGCAAUUGUCAACAAUGCUCCCAGGUAAACGCCAUUCAAUCUUUUGUUAUAAUAAAAGUUCACGUAUGAUUAAGCCCAAACAGACGAGGUUGUGAUCCUUUUACUCCUAUCUAACUAGAGACAAGCACCGAACACGCAAACAAGCCAUCACCAGAAAAUAAAUGAUGAUGUAGCAAUAACAACAAAUAGAUCACAGCUGUUCUAGAGUUAGGAUUCAUAUGUGCAGAUGUAAGCAAUGUUGAACGAUACUUGCAGAUGAAGGGCAUUCUUGCUGUUGAAGUUUGCAGGCGAUUAGCCGCAAACAGACAAGUUUGCAGGCGAUUGUUGCAGCCAUAAUCACUUCAUGUAGUGACUAGUGUCUACCCAACCAGCUUCAGGUUUUAGUAACUGGACCCCAGAAGAGAGGAGCUGGCAGUCUUCAGUGGAAAAAAGGAGAGCAUUUGUUGCUCUGUUUUUCCUCUGCUUCUGUUAGGCCAUUGCUGAAAUGAUAACAUAUAAAUGCUGACGAUCAUUGCCCCUCCCAGAUUCCUAUUUAUACAAGUAUGUUGGGAAAAUACUUCGCCAACUGUCACUACUCCCUUGGAGCUAGCAGCCUAACAUCAGAGGAGCAUAGACGGCCUCUAUGAACUGAAACAGUGCAUGCAAAAACAGAAGAGGAGCUAGCAGCCUAACAUCAUACCAUCACCAUCACUAAUUAACAAUCUACACCACACUGCCUCUAGUAUGCAGCGCGAAUCACCAACUGAUGCUACUGUUACAACCCACUCGUCUAUUAUCACAAAUGUCACAGUUGUACCAGAACUUUCAGCUGAAACAACAAAAAGAAUGUUUCAGAAGAUAAAAGAGAGGCAUCACUCGAGGUGUUAAGAAAGACAAAUUAAACAAAAGCAUAAUUGUCUCAGCCACGCGGCCUAGCACUACAAUUAACUGAAGAACAUAUCUGAUGGUGUAAUAUCUAAUCAACCAACUAGAAUGACUAUGAAUGGUUCAUAUAACUUUACUUCGUCCUUGACAACAAACAAACUGCUAAGUUUCGACGGCUAGGUGGUUUACAAUCUGCCAAUUUAUCCUCAGUACUCAAAUUUAUGGCAAUCUGGACGGCUAGGGUUCGGGUAGAAGAGGAGCUAGAAGAGGCGGACGUUCUUGGCAAGCUAGCUGGGUAGGGUUAGGGUCCAUGUGGAGCUGGGGUAGGAGACUCCGUUCUUGGCGUGCUCGCCGGUGAGGACGAGGCGGACGGAGGGCGUGCGGGAGGUGGCAGCCAUGGAGAGGAGGGGGGAGGGGAGGGGAGGGGCUGCGAUGACUAACCACCGGUGAGAAGUCCAGUAUGCCGGAGGAGAUCACCGGCGUCGAGGCGUCGGGUGGCGCGGCGACUUGGGGAGGAGGCAGCGCGGCGUCUUGGGGAGGAGGCGGCGCAGCGUCGGCGGCGGCGUCUCGAGUCGAGAGCAGCCAAAUCCUCGAGGGGGGCCUCGAUGAUUCUGAACCGCGUGGGAACAUGUGGGUCGAAAGGGAAUCGAAGGGAUUGGGC
Molecule: long non-coding RNA, 2264 nt
Filed under: Triticum aestivum (bread wheat)
Lineage: Eukaryota; Viridiplantae; Streptophyta; Magnoliopsida; Poales; Poaceae
Description: long non-coding RNA (TAES_LNC013150)
Source: RNAcentral